AGUGAACGCUGGCGGUAGGCCUAACACAUGCAAGUCGAACGGCAGCACAGUAAGAGUUUGCUCUUACGGGUGGCGAGUGGCGGACGGGUGAGGAAUACAUCGGAAUCUACUUUUUCGUGGGGGAUAACGUAGGGAAACUUACGCUACUACCGCACACGACCUACGGGUGAAAGCAGGGGAUCUUCGGACCUUGCGCGAUUGAAUGAGCCGAUGUCGGAUUAGUUAGUUGGCGGGGUAAAGGCCCACCAAGGCGACGAUCCGUAGCUGGUCUGAGAGGAUGAUCGGCACAACUGGAACUGAGACACGGUCCAGACUCCUACGGAAGGCAGCAGUGGGGAAUAUUGGACAAUGGGCGCAAUCCUGAUCCAGCCAUACCGCGUGGGUGAAGAAGGCUUUCGGGUUUUAAAGCCUUUUUGUUGGGAAAGAAAAGCAGCAGGUUAAAACCCCGCUGUUCUGACGGUACCCAAAGAAUAAGCACCGGCUAACUUCGUG
Molecule: ribosomal RNA, 492 nt
Filed under: uncultured bacterium
Lineage: Bacteria
Description: partial 16S ribosomal RNA
Rfam family: Bacterial small subunit ribosomal RNA
Source: RNAcentral